Molecule: ribosomal RNA, 1674 nt
Filed under: Triticum aestivum (bread wheat)
Lineage: Eukaryota; Viridiplantae; Streptophyta; Magnoliopsida; Poales; Poaceae
Description: partial small subunit ribosomal RNA
Source: RNAcentral
AUGGGCAAGCAGCAGCCGCCGCCGCGGCCGGCGGCGAUGUCGGCGCCUCCCCCGGCCCGGCGGAAGCGGAAGAAGAAGGGCCGGCCCUCCCUCCUCGACCUCCAGAAGCGCAGCCUCCGCCUGCAGAAGCUCCAGGAGGCGCCUCCGCCGCCGCCCCCGCCCCCGCCCCCGCAGCAGCGCCGCCCCUCCACGCGCCGCAACCCCGCCCCGGAGGACGACUCGGGCGACGACGACCCCCGCCGCGAGAAGAAGCUCCGCCUCGUCGUCGGCCUCCACGACGGAUCGGCCAAGGGAGAAAAGAGGAGGACAGCGACGGAUGGGCGUGAAGAGCCGUCAGAUUCCGGCCCCACGAUGCCCCUGCCUGACAAAAAGUUAUUGGUCUUCAUCCUUGAUAGGCUGCAGAAGAAGGACACAUACGGCGUUUUCUCGGAGCCGGUUGAUGAUGAAGAGCUGCCCGACUACAGAGAUAUUGUCAAGCACCCCAUGGAUUUUUCGACAGUUAGAAAGAAGCUUGAUAAAGGGGCAUAUGCUAACCUGGAGCAAUUUGAGGACGAUGUGUUUUUGAUAACCUCGAAUGCCAUGUCCUACAAUUCACCAGACACAGUAUACUAUCGACAGGCACGAUCUAUUCAAGAGGUUGCUAAGAAGGACUUUGAGAAUCUUAGGCAAGAUAGUGAUGCCAGUGAACCAGAACCAGAACCAUUACCAGAACCGGAACCAAAACCACAGCGUCGAAGGGGCAGGCCUCCAAAGAACGCUGUCAAGCAGCAAGUUGAGCAGCCACCAGCAGAACGUGCUACCGCAAACUUUUCUGCGGCAGCACUUGCUAUGGCUGGAAAUAGUGGACUUUAUGCGCACUCAGGGUUUGAUAUACAGCGGAGAAUUGCAGAUGUACUGAAAGCUUCUUUUGCCAAUAGAAGCAAUGAACACAAUUGGUCCAGUGAGCGCAAAUUGGAAAGCAUUGAAGAUUAUUCAGGGUCUGGGAGUAAAUGGUCAGGAAAAAUGGGGAAGAAGCCACUUCCGGUAGAAGAGAGUCGCCGAACUACAUAUUAUCAGAAUCAACCAUCCAGUUCAAUGUAUGAGCUGCCAGUGGCAACCUCAUACAACGGGACAAGGAAGGUUCUUGUACCAAUUGGUGCUCAGUUGCCACAGGCCUAUUCCCGCAGUCUUGCACGUUUUGCUGCACAGCUUGGUCCUGUUGGUUGGGAAGUUGCAUCGAAGCGAAUUGAACAGGUCAUUCCCCCUGGAGCAACAUUUGGUCGUGGGUGGGUAGGAGAUGGCGAAUCACCAGACUCAUUUCAGCCACCUGUACCGACUUCAUCUCCGAUACCAACACCACCACCAAGCAGCAUAGCAGCAUCGAGUGAGCAGAAAACUGUAGAUGAUCCUGCAAGCGCAGGCCAUUCAACAGGGCCUCAUGCAGAUGCUGUGUCACAUGCUUCUGCCAAUAACGCUAAGAGGAUCGAUUCUCAGGCAGUACCAAGCCCGCAAUGCGGAUCAUUGCCGCAGGUUCCAGUUGAACAUUCCGUUGAGCUGAAGAGCAGCCAUAAUGUUGAGGAACGGCCCACCAUGCACCAAACUGUGAAUGGUUUUAAUGCUGUGCCAGGGUCAAUCAUGUUUGCACCUACCGCCCAGCUGGUCGCGAACCGGAUGCAGACGCAUAUGGCCGAUUGA